This 29-nucleotide non-coding RNA is filed under the name Mus musculus (house mouse). The record is from RNAcentral. Lineage: Eukaryota; Metazoa; Chordata; Mammalia; Rodentia; Muridae.
UCGUUAUAUCAGACUGGAAUGAAGUGGCA